UACGGGGAGGCAGCAGUGGGGGAAUAGUUGCACAAUGGGGCGCAAGCCUGAUGCAGCCAUGCCGCGUGUAUGAAGAAGGCCUUCGGGUUGUAAAGUACUUUCAGCAGUGAGGAAGGUGGGGUAUGGUUAAUAGCAUAUUCAUUUGACGUUAGCUGCAGAAGAAGCACCGGCUAACUCCGUGCCAGCAGCCGCGGUAAUACGGAGGGUGCGAGCGUUAAUCGGAAUUACUGGGCGUAAAGCGCAUGCAGGUGGUUUGUUAAGUCAGAUGUGAAAGCCCGGGGCUCAACCUCGGAAUUGCAUUUGAAACUGGCAAACUAGAGUACUGUAGAGGGGGGUAGGAAUUUCAGGUGUAGCGGUGAAAUGCGUAGAGAUCUGAAGGAAUACCUGUGGCGAAGGCGGCCCCCUGGACAGAUACUGACACUCAGAUGCGAAAGCGUGGGGAGCAAACAGGAUUAGAUACCCUGGUAG
Molecule: ribosomal RNA, 468 nt
Filed under: uncultured bacterium
Lineage: Bacteria
Description: bacterial SSU rRNA
Rfam family: Bacterial small subunit ribosomal RNA
Source: RNAcentral